Molecule: ribosomal RNA, 792 nt
Filed under: uncultured bacterium
Lineage: Bacteria
Description: bacterial SSU rRNA
Rfam family: Bacterial small subunit ribosomal RNA
Source: RNAcentral
GAUGAACCGCACAAGACGUGCCUAACACAUGCAAAUCGAAUGAAAAGAAUUAAUUAUUGUUUUCAUGGUGAGCGGGUGAGUAACACAUAAGAAUCAGCUUUUAGAUAAGGCAUAAAAGAGUAAUAUCUUGGUAAUUCCUUAUAUGCGCAGCAGUGCUUAAAAAGGGGAGUCCCGUCUAAAAACGAGCUUAUGCCUGAUUAGCUAGUUGGCGAGUUAAAAGCUCACCAAGGCGAAGAUCAGUAGCUGGCCUGAGAGGGCGGCCAGCCACAUUGGGACUGAGACACGGCCCAAACUCCUACGGGAGGCAGCAGUGGGGAAUCUUCUGCAAUGGGCGCAAGCCUGACAGAGCGGCGUCGUGUGAAGGAAGAAGGCCUGAAAUAGGUUGUAAACUUCUUUUACUGAAUAAUGAAUAAUGACAACGCAGUAAAAAAGUAUCGGCUAACUCCGUGCCAGCAGCCCGCGGUAAUACGGGGGAUGCAAGCGUUAUCCGGAAUCACUGGGCGUAAAGCGUCUGUAGGUGGUUUAGUGUGUUCUUAGUUAAAUUCUGAAGCCUAACUUCAUGAAAAGUAAGAAAACUAUUAGACUUGAGUACGAUAGGGGUAAGAAGGAAUUCUUCGAGAAGUAGUGAAAUGCGAAGAUACGAAGGAGGAGAUCAUAAGCGAAGGCUUCUUACUGGGUCGUAACUGACACUGAGAGACGAAAGCUAGGGGAGCGAAUGGGAUUAGAUACCCCAGUAGUCCUAGCUGUAAACGAUGGAUAUUCNGUGCCGGAAAUUUAUUAGAACAUUUCGGU